RNAcentral lists this ribosomal RNA (775 nucleotides) under uncultured Glomus. RNAcentral's name for it is "SSU rRNA". It matches the Rfam family "Eukaryotic small subunit ribosomal RNA", at positions 338 to 1114 of the family's 1831-position model. Lineage: Eukaryota; Fungi; Glomeromycota; Glomeromycetes; Glomerales; Glomeraceae. The record is from RNAcentral.
GGCCUACCAUGGUGGUAACGGGUAACGGGGUGUUAGGGCACGACACCGGAGAGGGAGCCUGAGAAACGGCUACCACAUCCAAGGAUGGCAGCAGGCGCGCAAAUUACCCAAUCCCGACACGGGGAGGUAGUGACAAUAAAUAACAAUACGGGGUUCUUUCGGAUCUCGUAAUUGGAAUGAGUACAAUUUAAAUCUCUUAACGAGGAACAAUUGGAGGGCAAGUCUGGUGCCAGCAGCCGCGGUAAUUCCAGCUCCAAUAGCGUAUAUUAAAGUUGUUGCAGUUAAAAAGCUCGUAGUUGAAUUUCGGGGUCAGUAGGUUGGUCGUGCCACAGGUAUGAACUGGUCUCACUGAUUCCUCCUUCCUGAUGAACCGUAAUGCCAUUAAUUUGGUGUUGCGGGGAGACUGGACUGUUACUUUGAAAAAAUUAGAGUGUUUAAAGCAGGCUAACGCUUGAAUACAUUAGCAUGGAAUAAUGAAAUAGGACGUUCGGUCUUAUUUUGUUGGUUUCUAAGAUUGACGUAAUGAUUAAUAGGGAUAGUUGGGGGCAUUAGUAUUCAAUUGUCAGAGGUGAAAUUCUUGGAUUUAUUGAGGACUAACUACUGCGAAAGCAUUUGCCAAGGAUGUUUUCAUUAAUCAAGAACGAAAGUUAGGGGAUCGAAGACGAUCAGAUACCGUCGUAGUCUUAACCAUAAACUAUGCCGACUAGGGAUCGGAUGAUGUUAAUUUUUUAAUGACUCAUUCGGCGCCUUACGGGAAACCAAAGUGUUUGGGUUC